GCCGGAGUGGUGAAAUUGGUAGACGCGCCGGACUCAAAAUCCGGUGUCCGCGAGGACGUGCCGGUUCGACUCCGGCCUCCGGCACAA
RNAcentral lists this transfer RNA (87 nucleotides) under Deltaproteobacteria bacterium RBG_16_49_23. RNAcentral describes it as "tRNA-Leu". It matches the Rfam family "tRNA". From Rfam's summary of the family: Transfer RNA (tRNA) molecules are approximately 80 nucleotides in length. Their secondary structure includes four short double-helical elements and three loops (D, anti-codon, and T loops). The record is from RNAcentral. Lineage: Bacteria; Deltaproteobacteria.